GCACUUUCAGUUGCUUCUUUAAGCACUUGUAGUUUAAUAAAAAAUUCAAUGUGUCUAGGAUAAAAGUACUUGUAGCAGAAGCGCUUGUAAACAAAAAAUGCUUGCUCGAGAAGCAAUCCGAAAGGAGCCCUUUAUCACACAAACAAAUGACUCCUUUAGCAGAAAACAAGAUUGCGGAAAACAUUUCCCAUUAAUUUUGGUCUGCUUUGUUUAGGUAUGGAUGUUGUGACGACCAAAGCUGCCAUACCGACCUACAGGCCUUUGGAGAACAUACACCAAUUCAACGAUUUCGCCGAGUUUUUGGGUGACGGGAGAGCUGGGAAUGCUCGAGCUCUGUGGAACAAGCCUCUCAAAACCGUUUAUAUCAGCGGUUGAGGUGAGCUCAAGGUGGCAAAGCCUUCCCUUUCUCCUAGUCUCCCUUGAUCAUUUUACGUACAUUGCAUUUGCAUAUAAUUUAUAUAACUGUUCAUAUUGUUCAGUUCACAUAUUCAAUAUUUUUGUUAAGAGCCUUUUGAAGUUAUAAUUGUACGUAAACCUUGUUUCUGCAAAGAUUUUGUAAUGAGAACGUACUGCUGCUUAAGUUGUGCUUCAUGUGUUUCGGUGAGAGCCUUCUAACAUUAUGGAAGCCUCCCUUUCUUGUCUUAGAUAGGAGGGAAACUUACCUACUACAAUGAGGUGAUAGUGGCAGUAUUGAAGCCUAUCAGGCCUUGUCGUGUGUUUUAACAUUUUCACUGUGACGAUGCGUGAUUGGCCUAAGAUACCACCGCAUCCUACCUAGUUAGGCAACAUAGCAUAAUGAACAUUACUAAUAAGAACAAAGAAGCAUCGGUCUAUGUUAUAGUUUGAAGAUACCUUAGAUGCUAUUGUUUACACCAACUUCAUAUUGGUUAGUUGUAGAGUUAUGAUAUCCACAUAUCAUUUUUACCUCCCGCACAUUCUUCUCAAUUUUUUGUUGUCGGCUUGAGUGAAAUGAAAAAGAUUAAAUGACAUAAAUUAAUAAGGGAUAUGUAAGAAGUAAUUGGAUUGAGCAACGCCAAUGGUAUGUAUGAAAUGUAUGUACGUAUGCAUGAAAUGCAUCUACAUACAAAAACAUUACUUCCCAAUUGGGUAGUGAUGUUCGCACUUCCGUUUUCUCUUUUUGCAAAUGCUGGAAAUAUCGGACUUGGAAUUGGAUCUGUUUUUGGGCCUCAACCCGGUCCAUUGCAGCAAAUAGAAAAGGAGACUUCAUGUAAGUUGGGCUUGGCCCUUCAAGUAUAAGGAAUCAGUUCGUCAAUUGGCAAAAAAAAAAAAAAAAAAAAAAAAAAAAAAAAAAAAAAAAAAACGAAAAAACAAAAGAAGGUGAAAAAGAAACAAGUGAUGUUUAUGAAGGUAGGUGAAUUGGGAGGAGGAUUCUCUCGGUGGACCCAUCUCAAACUUCUACGAACUUCUUCCACUGAAUGGAAAGGACACCUUGGGCCCCGCAGUAGGAAGGCCCAUUGGAAAACGACGAAUAUGUAGCCCUUCUCUCUUUCGGCCCAAUAGGGCGCAAGCAAAUACGGAGGGUGGGAACCACGAGCAGCCGCACGUGAAGGGGACCUGCAGCGACUUCAGCCGCUAGCGCCAAAUUCAAUCUGACGACCGAUCAUCUACCACUGUUGUUUCCCCUCCUGCAGGUGGUCCCCACCACCUCCCUUCUGCUGCUGUACGAACAGGGUUCUCAGACUGUGCGGCGGGUAUUCCCAGGUGGUCCAUAAAACGUAGGGACGACAUGUGUGCUCGUACGGGUUUGAGGUCACUGUGCGUAGGGUAAGGACUAACUGACGACCCUCUUGAGGAGGACGUCCGAAAAGCGAAGGUCAUCGCUUGGGGAGUGUGGUAAACCGUCCCUCCCGUGUAAUCAGUGUCGUUACAUACACCAAUCAAAUCUAACGACUUCCCCGACAUCUGUCAACCAUAGCCACAUUUGCACGCUCUUUGAAUUUUGAUUUAUUAUAGGGAUUUUUUUAGAGAACUUCAACAAACAGUUUAUUUUAACGAAAAAUUAUAUUUUUACAUUAAAAAAUCAAUCUUAUUACUAUUUAUUUUACCCUUUUUUUUUGUUAUUAUUGUUAAAAUUUAAAGCUUUCAAGCAUUUUUUCAUUAAUUUUCCUAAUUUUUUAACGAAGAUUAAAAUUUAAAAUAAAUGUGGUGUUAGAUUACAUAUUUAUUAUAAUCCCUUGAUGUGUCCUUAAUUUUAAAGGAAAACUAAUGAAAAGGGCUUGAAAACUUUGAGUUUUAAUGAUAAGGACAAAAUAAAGGGUAAAGUGACUAGUACCAUGAUUGACUUUUUAGUGUAAAAAUGUGGUUUUUCGUUAAAGUGAACAGUAACGGGAGCUUUUCGUUAAAGUUCCCUAAUUUUAAAUAAUCAAUGUGCAUUUUAUCUAGUGUCUUCCAUUAAAUAUUUAAAUUUAUUAAUAAACAAAUUUUUAUUUAUUUUUUGACCAAAAAAAGUUUUUUUUUUUUAAUUUAUUAAUUUUAUUUAACAUUCUUCAAACUUGAAAGACUCAAUUAAUGUACCUAAGGUCUCGUUUGGCAGCUGGGACUGUACUGACUAUUUCUGUCGGAUAUGAUAAAUAACCACCGGACAGUACUGAUUAAAUUAGUCAGACAUUUGAUGCAGUAUCGGACUAAGUUUUCCACUGCAAUUUUAGUCAAGAACCUCUCUGCAAAUACACCAUGUUUCUUUGCAAGACCCAGUUGCAGAAGAAGCCCAGAAACAUAUUAACUAAACAAAAAUCCACAAACUACCAGAAUAAUCGAUUCCUGUUCGUCGGAAAAACAAGAACAGAGGGAAGGCCAAUGGUUGGGCGCACAAUUGGUGAAUAUAUAUAUUUUUUUCUUAUCUCCUCUUUGCUGCAGAUUCAGAUGGGGUAUUUGUAACAUAUAGAAUUCCAAUAAAUACAACCCCACGAUUGGUGAAUUAGUGCUGCUAUUUUGGGUCAAUGGUGAUUUGGCCAACGGUGAAGAACAGAGGGAGGCGGAAGAACAAAGGGAGCGGCAGAACCUGGGAAGACGAAGAAAAAUGAAAAGACGAAGUGGGAUUCAAACGAAGAAGAAAGAACUUGAGAAGACGAACCUGGGAUUCAAGAGAGCAAGAGUGAGUCUGAAGAGGAAUGAGAAAGCGACAAAUUUCAGCCUGACUAAAUUGUACCGUGGUUUUGGACGGUAUAAGCAAGCGGGUAAAGACAGGAUAAAAAAGGUGGGCCUAGGUUAUUUAAUCCGGUGGCUAUUUAAUCCAAACAGACACCAAACAUCGUAUUUCGUAUUAUUAGUACUAUCCGGUAUCUUAUAUGGUGUGCCAAAUAGGGCAUAAAUGUUAGUACCAAAAUGUAUUAUAUUGAACUAAUGUAUUUAAAUGUUAAUACCGAAAUGUAUGUAUUGAAUUAUAUGCACCGAAAUGUAUUAUAUUAAAUUAAUGUACCUAAAUGUGGGUACUGAAAUGUAUGCACCGAAAUGUAUUCAUACUGGUUGGUUGUAGAGCUGUAAUAUCUACAUAUCCUUUUUACCUCCCACACAUUCCCCUCGAUUUUCCGCUGUCGAAUUGAGUGAAAUGAAAAAGAUUAAAUAACAUAAAUUAAUAAGGAGUGCGUAAGAAGUAACUGGAUAGCGCAAUGCCAAUUGUAUGUAUGAAAUGUAUGUACGUAUCCACGGAAUGCAUCUACAUACAAAAACAUUACUUCCCAAUUGGGUAGUGAUGUUCGCACUUCUGUUUCAGCAAAUAGAAAAGGAGGCUUCAUGUAAGUUGGGCUUGGCCCUUCAAGGAUAAGUAAUCAGUUCGUCAGUCGGCAAAAUAAUUUAGAAAAAAAAUAUAAAUAAAAAGUGAAAAAAGAAAAGAGUGAGGUUUAUGAAGGUAGAUGAAUUGGUCGGACAAGAUCCGAAGACAAACAAACGUACGGUCUGGAUUGGGUGGACCCAUCUCAAACUUCUACGAACUUCUUCUGUCUCAAUGGAAAGGACACCUUGGGCCCCGUAGUCGCAAGGCCCAAGGGAAAUCUACGAACGACGAAGAUGUAGCCCUUCUCUCUUUCGGCCCAAUAGGGCGCACGCAAAUAGGGAAGGUGGGGACCACGAACAGCCGCGCGUGAAGGAGUCCUGCAGUGACUUCAGCCGCUAGCACCAAAUUCAAUCUUACGGCCGAUUAGCUAUCACUCCUGUGUCCCUCCUGCAGGUGGUCCCCACCACUUCCCUUCUGCUGCUGCUUUUUUGUACAGCUGUACGAACAGGAUUCUCCGACGAUGGGGCGUGUAUUCCCAGGUGGUCCAUGAAACCUAGGGACGACACGUGUGCUCGUACGGGUUUGAGGUCAGUGGACAGGGUAAGGACCAACCGACGAACCUCUGACGAGGACGUCCGAAAGCGAACGUCAUUGAUUGGGGAGUUUGGUAAACUGUCCCUCCCGUGUAAUCAGAGACCGAUCAAAUCUAACGACUUCCCCCACAUCUGUCAACCAUACCCACAUUUGCACGCUCCUUGAUUUUUUAUUUAUUAUAUUAUCCUCUUCUUAAAUCUUGUUUCCAGACUAGAAAAAUUUAAGUAGGACAACUUAAACCAGUUUAACAGUUAAGCACUCUCACGAAACAAUAAAGUUCUACCGCAUUCGGAUAUCAUCCGGCUUCGUACAGGGUGCAACCUUUAAACCACCCAUCUCACUUCUUUUCAGUGUGAUCUUAUCAGCGGUCUGAUCAUACUUUUAUAUUUAAUAUUUUAUCUCUAAAGUCUAACGGUGGUGAUAAAUAACUUAUCAAAUAAAUAACUUGAAAGACCGAUGGCUAAAUUGAGGGUGCAUAAUCGUUGCAUGUAUUUUACGACUAAUGAUGAUGAAUCUCGCUAAUUAUUGCAUAAAAAAGUGUCUUCAUAAUCUUAAAUUUAUGAUCACAUGUUCCAUCUUUACUAAAUAAUUAGACAUUAGUUACCCUACACAAUAGUUACGUCAUUGUGAUAUUUUAUGAAUGUGUUCGAUGUGCUCAUCACGUUUUUUCACAAUAAAUUAGACUCGUAUUAGUGCCUAAUCACUAUCCAUUAAGUAAUUAUGCCUACAUUCAUACGGUUCAAAAAAUCCUUACCAAGAUCAACCUAAUUGGGUUGAAAUCCACUCACCACCUAUGUGGGUAAAUCAUAUAAAUAUGAGUUUAAUUCGGUCCGAAAUUAUUAACAUCUUGAAAAACAUAUACUUGCGUCGAGUCAAACACGUAAUCUCGAGUAUAGACAUAAUUGACAUAAUUGCCCCACCACAAUCUUAUCGUUUGAGUUCACACGAAUUACUCUAAUAUAUAAGCUAAACCAUGAACUCAUCAUGUGAAUUUAUUAAAUAGAUUGGCAGAUAUUGGAUAUAUUUUUCAGUGUGUCUAAAGUACAAAGUAAAACAUCACAUGUUAUUAUAUAAUUAGUUGGAUGUUUGAAAAAAAAAAACUUUCCUCUAAUUAUGUAAUGACAUGUAAUGUUAUGACUCGUAUUCCGAAUACAGUCAGAAAUCUAUCCAAGAUAUUGCCAUAAGAUUUGUUGUGAUUGAAUAUUUCAUUGAGUGACAUCUUGGUAUUUUGUCUUGACCUUAAAAACUUCCAUUUGUCAAGCGUAUCUCAAGCAUUAAAGCACAAGAAAAGAAAAGUUGCUCCUUCCCUUCCAUACUUUCCUUUUACUUUCUUGUCGACCAACUUCUUCAUUUUUAUGUCUUUUUAAAACAUAUAUUGUUGAAAAUAUUAAACAUCUCGAAUCAGAAAAUUAACAAAAUUAAAUAUGAUGAGCGUGGUUUAUUUCUCGCUACAUCGAGUUUUUAGUGAUAAAAUUUUCACACUUAAAAAUGAUAAGAUGCGAGUUGAGGAACAAUAUCAGUGUAGUUAAUAAUUAAUCGCUAACACAUCUUUUAAAAAUAUAGACAAGUGUAAUUUCAAUGUCUAUAUUCCCUCCACCAUACCAACAGCUGGAACUUCUACCAAAGUCAUUUAAGAAACUUCUUACACACCUGAAAAUUAUAAGAUUCGAGUUGAGGAACAAUAUCUAUGUAGUUAGUAAUGAAUCGCUGCCACAUUUUUUUUAAUAUAUAGACACGUAUGUUUUCAAUGUCUAUAGUCCUUCCACCAUGCCAACAGCUGCACGUUCUGUCGAAAUCAUAUAAGAAACUUCUUGCAACAAUACAAAAUCUAUGUGUUUGUGCGUAUAUAUAUGGCUCCAAGAGGUUGGUAAUUGUUUAAAUAUCUUAUUUAGAUAUUAUUUUGUUAGGGCAAGGCAAAUAGUUUAGUGGAAGAGACAAGAGGGAAAGCCCCAAGGGUUGAAGUAGGAAGCAAUCAUACCCCACAAUACCACCAAACGGUCCAAACACUCCAAACCAAAAUAAAUGAAUCAAUAUAUCCUAUGUCCAUUUCACCACUCUACGUUUUGUUUUUGUUUUUUAGCAAACGUUAUUGUCUGCACUAAGGGAGUAAAAGAGCGAGCUAAGCCUCAUAAUAGGUUAGCAAUAAUAUGGUUCAAAUUUACCUUUGGCGAGAUUCAAACCUAAGACCUCUCACUUACAAGUAAAAGAGAAUACCACUAUAAUGAAUUGAAAGAUUUUAUUAUUUAACCGAGGUUAUUAUCUUAGUACACUGACCCAAGUUGGGGCUGAAAAUUUUGAUUAUGACCGCGAACAUUCAUUUAUUGAGAUUUUAUUGUAAUGCUUCUUUACCUUUCUCACACUACCACUCAACCAUUCUAUGUUCCUCACUUCUCCCAGUACUAAAAAAUAAAUAAAUUCAGACAAACGUUAUGCAAGACAACUUGAUCAACUGGACAGUCACGCUCUCACAAUGAAACAUACUCUAAAUUAGUUGGCUACAAUUCGGCCCGACGCAUAUGUAACUUUCAAUGAAAGCAUUCACGCGUAAUGUAUGGGUGACCUGACCAGUUAAUCAGAAGAACCUUUGAACACUUUUUCAUUAGAUUAGUUUUUUUUUUUUUUAGGUAAAUUGUCAUAAGAUUAAUCGAUACAUAUGCUAUAACUUAAGUAGAACAAUAACAUCGAGUAACUUGUGCGCGAUGAUCACAAAAACUUUCGAGUAUGUGUCACACGAUGAAAUAUAUACUAAUAAAAGUGUUAGGUACUUGGUUUUAGAUUGUGCCUAGGAUGCGCCUGUGCACCUUUAUCCACAUUUAUGGCUACAGGCUACAGCUACACCUGCUGCAAAUCUAGAAGUCUAGAAUUCUUAUUACAAUCAUAAAUAAUCAAUCUUUGUCUUACUAUUUCGCCACGUGUCCAUCAAUCUGGCCGUCCAAUUGUCUUCCUCGGUCCUCACGCAACCAAAAGUCGUCUUCUCCGUCACUCUCUGCAGACAGUAGGACUCCUCCUUGCUUAAUAACACAUUCAAGUUUCAAACUUUCAACAAACCCCACCUUCUUUCUUGACUCAAAAGCCGCUUUUGGCUUUUCCAAGCCUCGCUUUUCCUAUAUGCACUGAAAAAGCCAUAAGCUUUAAGCUCUUCUCUCUGAUUUCUCACAAUUCAACUCGCAAAAAUGGCGUUUCAUCACCAGCAGCAGCAGACCCCUCACGAAAUGGCGUUCCACUCCUUCGCGGAGGACCAGCCGCCGCUCUCCGGAGCUCUGACGUGGCUCAACAACGCAGCUUUCCGCCAGCAGAACACCAGCUUCGGCGGCCUCCACGACGCGGGGAGAAACGACGACGUGGUCAUAUCGCCGUCCGGGAAGAGCAGCAGCUGCAGCGAUCGGAACCGGAGGGAGAUAAGCGGUUACGACGGCGGAGAAGAGGAGGAGGGGGAAGACGAGCUGGAGUGCGAGAGCGCGAGGUUCAAGGCCGACAUCGUGGGACAUCCUCUGUAUGAGCAGCUUGUGUCGGCGCACGUGUCGUGCUUGAGGAUCGCUACGCCGGUCGAUCAGCUGCCAAGGAUCGAUGAGAAGCUCUUGCAAUCGCAGCGCGUGGUCGACAACUACUCGGCGCUCCGAGCCAAUGGGGAUGUUGGAGUCAUGGAUGAGAAAGAACUUGAUUUGUUCAUGGUUAGCACUAAUUAAAUCUUAAUUAAUUUUUAAUUCCAUAUUAUUGAAAGUUUAAAACAUUUUUAAUUUCUGGAUAUUUUUAGAGUGUCGUGUAAUUAGUUGAGGUGGCAGUGAAGAAUCAUGUUGCUUAAUUCUCUAAUUAUUCCACUUUACAAGUGCUUUGGAGAAUCUUAAUCCUUUAAUUAGUAGUUUGAUUAGUGGCAUGUCUUGGAAUUAGAAUUUGUUCUGCAAAUCAAUCUCUCCAAUUUCUUUAUAAUUUCUACUAUAAUAUUAAGUCUAAACAUUUAGGUAUGUAUCCAGACAAUCGAAUCCUGGUGCGUAGUCUUGCUCGCCUAAUCUGCUGACGCCUAGUUCUUCCUUUGCUGUUCUCUUUCUUCUGUAAAUAAAUUUAGGCUUUUUAGCCAAAAUGUUCUUGAGAUUUGCAAAUCACAUUACUUUGGUCUCUGAGAUUGAAAAUCAAUAGAAAUGGUCCUGAGAUUAUUCACCAUCCAUUAUUUUGGUUAUUCCGUUAAAAAUUCCGUUAAGUGUUUAGGAGCUCUUGGCCCGAAGUUUAAGCAAUUUUCAAAGUUUUGUAACUCAAUCUCAGGAACCAAAAUGAUGUUUUAUGCAAACCUCGGACCAUUUUAGCUAAAAAGCCAUAAAUUUACGUACUUUAUAAAAGUCACAUUGUAAUUUUGUAACAAUCGAAUCCUGGUGCGUAGUCUUGCUCGCCUAAUCCGCUGACGCCUAGUUCUUCCUUUGCUGUUCUCUUUCUUCUAUAAAUAAAUUUAGGCUUUUUAGCUAAAAUGUUCUUGAGAUUUGCAGAACACAUAAAUUUAUGUACUUUAUAAAAGUCACAUUGUAAUUUUGUAACAAAAUGCUUUGGUUACGAUGUUGGUUGAGGGUCUAGCAUAACGAGAUGUUCAUAAUUUUGUUAAACUUUCGGUUUUCGUCAUCUGAUCUUUGCUCGUUGUGAUUUUGUAGACGAAUUAUGUUCUUUUGCUUUGCUCCUUCAAAGAACAACUGCAGCAGCAUGUCCGAGUUCACGCAAUGGAAGCAGUGAUGGCUUGUUGGGAGCUUGAUCAGUCUCUGCAAAGCUUAACAGGUAAUUUUUGUUUCUUUAGUUUCGAUCGUCCCAUAAAUCUUGAUCCUUUCCUCCCCAUUUCGCUGCCUUUAUCCGAAAAGUAGGAGACAGGGAAAAAGGACAAGAACAUGAAUGUUACUUCCCAUGUGCUAAACUGUUUUUGGUGUGUCCUAAAUGUGAGCAUCGUUUAUAUAAGGCUGCCUAAUAGUUGUUCUUUUAUUGCCCUUCCCCCGAAAAAACUAUGUUUAACUCUACGUGUUUAGAUAUCUGCGAAAAGAGGGAUUUUGCAAUAGCGAAACCAUCAAAACCAUCGACAUUGUUUCCAUUGUUAUCGUGAAUCCUGAGGUUGAGUUUGAGGUUGAUGUCAGUGUCGCGCUGUUAAAGACUUCAUCGGUGUGAAGAGGAAAGACGAGGGCAGAAGUUGCACUGACUUAAGUUUUUUUUUUUUCGUUGAGUCUUUUAGCUUUGAUUAGUGUCAUCACUUUGGAUUGCCUGUCUCUAUAAAUUCGGAUAUAGGAUAAGACAUCUUGUGUAGUGUCGUCAGUUGUUAUUGCUCGUUUUUGGUUGCUGAUCGUGAUCAACAUUUGUUUAUGGAUGGUUUACAGUUAAAUAUUUUAAGCUGCUUUCACAGGUGUAUCCACGGGUGAAGGAACGGGUGCUACCAUGUCCGAUGAUGAUGACCAGUUAGAUAGCGACAUCAACUCCUAUGAUGGAAGUCUGGACGGGCCAGACACCAUGGGAUUUGGCCCUCUUGUUCCGACUGAAAGUGAGAGGUCCUUAAUGGAGCGCGUAAGGCAGGAACUGAAGCAUGAACUGGAACAGGUACAAACUAUAGACUUACAGCGUAUAUAUACAUUUUCGGUGUGGACAAUUAGUGUAGCUGAUAACCUCUGCUUAUUAGGGUUACAAGGAAAAGAUCGUCGACAUUAGAGAGGAAAUUCUGCGCAAGAGAAGAGCGGGGAAACUGCCAGGUGACACAACUUCUGUCUUAAAAUCUUGGUGGCAAUCGCAUUCCAAGUGGCCUUACCCGACAGUGAGUUUGAACUUUGUUAUAAUCCCCUUGAAGCUUUCAGUUUAGCAGAUUCUUUUGUAAUAGCUACUAAUUAAGACGCUCUUUCGCUUCGAUAGGAGGAAGACAAGGCCAGAUUGGUGCAGGAAACAGGCUUGCAGUUGAAACAGAUCAAUAACUGGUUUAUUAAUCAAAGAAAAAGGAAUUGGCACAGCAACAUUUCAUCGACUUCCGUUCUCAAGAGCAAACGCAAGAGGUAGGAUUACGAUUAACAUAAUAUGGUUGUUUUUUCGAGUUAAUUUGUUUCGUAAACUUCAUAUAAACUUGUCUCAAUUUGUAAUUUGGAAAAAAAAGUAAUGCAGGUGACAUGAACAACCAACGAUUGAAGUAAAUGUCAUGAUUUUAGUCGAAAAUCUAGCAACAGAGAGCAAGGAAUUUAAUAUUUCUCGUACAGUAAAAGCUUCAAGCCUUCAAAUGGUAUGCUGCCCAUCUUUGGAUCGAUCGCUUCGAGUCUGAGGCACCCCGACACUAUCCAUGUCUUAUAGUACCAUAAUAUCAUCAAACUCUAAGCAUGUAACACGAAAAACUCGAACCAGGUAGCCUUAAUGUACUACGUUUCAGUGGAUCUAUGUAGAUUUUUUGUAUACCGAUCGCAUAUUAAAUAAAACGCUUGCUUUCUAUACAUAUUUUUAUGAAUGAGAAUGUCUAUGAAGAAUGUGAAUCUGUAAUUUUAAGGCAAAAAAUACAACUGAAAAAAGAAUACAGAUUGUUCUGUUUCUUACAGUGCAAGAAAACCUAUCGAAAAAGGAAACAAGGCAGCACAGACGACACUGAAUCCGACCUCUGGAUUCUACGAAAGCUGAUUCAUCGGUCCUGCGAACCUCUCUGCCUAAGGAACCAUCUUCAUUGGUAAAAGGGUCAGCGAACCUGCUGAAGCCAAGAGCAGCAUCGGCUUCUCUGCCAACACCUUCGUCGAAAUUGAGAGCGUAACUAUCAAUGUCGUACGACGUUGCUUUCUUUUGCUUCUUGUUUCGGCACAACCUAUUCUUAGCCUCUGUCAGCUUCUUCUUCCACCAUGUUGUCUCCUUGAGCCGGCCUCCGCCUUCUUGCUGCACCAAGUGUUGGCGUUCGUGACCAUUGUUGUUGCGUGAUCCAGAAGUCCUAAAACAACCACGAAAACCGCAAGAAGACGUAGGAGAAGUAGAAACAUCCAUAUCUGUUUUGUGUUCGCGAAGUGAACCGUGGUUUGACAUGAGCACGGUUGGUCUAGAGAGCGAGAGAAUCUGUGUUGAGAGACUUGGAGCAGAAGGGUGUUAAUUUAUAGGGGAGGGGAAGGGAAGGGAAAGGGAUACAAGAGAAAAAGGAAACAGGAAAUAUGUAUACACACACACACACAUAUAUAUAUAUAUGGAAAGAAAGAGUUGAUCAAUACUUAACAUUUAUAGAUUUUCGAGGAAAGAUUUGAUAGGGUGGUGUAGAUUUGUGGAAACAAAACAGGGAAUUCCUAAUGCAAAUCUUAGAGGGAUUUCAAAAUGCCAGGAACACAGAACUAAACACUACAUCUCAUUAUACAAUUGGAAUGACACUUGAAAAAAACUUUCUCCAAUAAUAUAAUGACGUGUGAUAUUCUGUCCUGUGUUCCGAACAUAUUGAAAAAUCUCUCCAAAUCUUCAACAUUCCCCGCCACAGUUGAUAUGCUCACCAACGCGGUGCCUUAAACAUUCCCCGCCACAACCCACACGCCCUAAGAGACGACGACUUGCUAUUGGUCAAAACAAAAGAAACGAAGACAGACCCCAAACAUGUGGAGUGCCACCGUGGUAUUUUGGAUCGAUAAUGUAAUAUUAUGGCAUUUUAAUUUGUUCUACAUCGUUUUAUUAUUUUGGAAUGUCAUGGUGGCGUAAACAAUUGCAGGGAAGUAUCUGUAUCCCCCAUAAGAAGUAAACAAUAUUGACAAAAUGUCAUGUUAAAAAUAACUACACAUAAUAUGCGAUUGGAGGAGUUCUUCUGUCUGGACCAUGUGGUUGACCGGCCAAAUACUCAUAAGAUGGGACGAGAAGGGGAUGAGUAGGCCCAAAAUACAAAAGGAGUGGACCUAUAUUCUCAUGUAAUUGACUUAAAAUAUCGUUACAGUGACAUUUCUGUUGUAGGUAAGUUUUUCCCAAAAUUUUGUAAUCGAAACCAAAACGUUUCUAUUAAGCUUUGGCGUGGUAGUAUUUUAGAUGUUACUGACAAUCUAAGUGAUCUUAAUGUCCAAUUCUGAAGUUCAAUUUAGAGUCUUCAUUAGACAAUUAUACUUUAUGGAUCUCAUUUUUCAGUGCAACUGCAAAUAGCCAAGUAACUUCCCAACACUUUAACAAGGUUUAAUCUUUGUUUCGAUUACGACUCGGGCCAAUCGAACAUGUUCCAUUUAACCCUAAUAUGUUACCAGUGUACAAAGUGACGAAACAACAACAAAGCCUUAUCCCGACAAAGAUUAAGCUUCGAUACAAUCCAAUGAUAAGUGCUUGUACUGAAGUUGGUUCAAAGGUAAAACCUAUAUGAGUUGAGACUUUUAUAAGACCAAUAUGUUUCUAUAAAACAAUAAAACAACUUCCCCAUCACUAUAAAGCAAAGCAAAUAUUAAGUUUAUCUUCCAAGGGCUCGAAACACAAAGGUACCGGUGCCGACGCCGGCGAGACAUCGACGAUGAAGCAACUUCUAAGAUCAUUUUCGAGCCUGAGACUAUGUUGCCGAGGGUUGCUGCGGUUGGGUCUGUCCUUUAGGAGGAACCUUUGCUGCCAUGGAGCGUAAUCCGUUCGCAAUUUCAGUGAAACUCAGCCUCUCGGACGGCUCUGAUGACCAGCAUCUCUCCAUCAGUGACUUCCAUUCAGGAUCGCAAGAGUCCGGUAUUGGUGGCCGCAAUGUGUUGCUCACAAUACCACCUGCAUUAACAUAUGAACAGCGGGAUAUCAGCAUCUCCGAAUCUGAGUAAAACCUCAAGGCGCCGAGCAUUGUUAACAAGUGCGAAGUUGUAUUGAGCAGUAGAAGAUACCUAUGAUAGCACCAUAGUGCAAAUCCGCAUAUGGUUCGUCUCCAGUGAGCAGCUCCCACAACAUGAUACCGAAAGAAAACACAUCGACCUAUUGUAUGCAACAAAAGAGGAGGGUAAAGAGCUAAGGAUUAAAAACAGGUCUAAGAAGCGAGUCGCAAUCAUUUGAGACGAUUUAGAAUAAAUUAAAUAAGAAAGCACAAACCUUCUCAGAAACAAGGCUACUGCUACCAUUCAACAGCUCCGGUGCCAUCCAUGGAAGUGUUCCCCGCACACCACCGGAGAUCAGCGUUUGACAUUUCACCUUAGAUAGGCCCAAAUCACCGACCUGGCAUCAGAAAGAAACCAGUGAACACAAUAUUCUAAACACGUAAACGAAUUACAGUAUGUUACAUAAGAAGCAUCUUAUAAAGCAUGUCAAUGAAAAAUAUGCGUUUUUGAAUAAAGAUGCUGCAUUUUAAACAAGUAUGUGGCUUAUAUAAGAAACGAAAGAUCAAAUCUACCACAAAACGAACCAGAAUAUGCGAAUGCAAGGAGCAAAAUAAAGUCACUACCUUGCAUAUUGGGCGGUGUGGAUCUCGAAGAUUGACAAGUAAGUUGUCACUUUUCAAAUCAAAGUGUACUAUCUUCUUUUCAUGCAGGUACUCCAUUCCGAAUGCCACAUCCAUUGCAAUCAUGAGGCGCUUGCGCCUGUCCAAACUCCUGAUAAAAUUAAAUCUGUGUCAGAUUUUUAUCCCAAUUGAAAAUUACGGACAACAAAAUGCCAAGCAAAUACAUUACUUCUCAUUUUUCUGCAAGGCAUUUCUCAGAGAGCCGUUAACCAUAUAUUCUGUCACUGUUGCCACAGAACCUCCGGGUCCGUCAAGCACAAUCCCAUAGAAAGCUACCACAUUGGGGUGGUGCAAGUCAGCAAGCUUGAUAGCCUCAUUCCAGAAAUCAUCUCUCUGUUUGAAUACAUAAACCACAACAUACGAAUUAAGUAAAAGAGUUAUGAAUGAAUGAAAGCUAAAAGUUUUAGAAACUAGUGUAACAAAAAGACAAACCAUGCGCUCUUGUUCUGAAGGCUUCCCGGAAAAACACCUAUCAUUGAUUCUUUUGAUUGCAACAUCAGUGCCCCUCCAUUUUCCAUGAUAAACGGUACCAAAAGUUCCAGAACCUAAUUCUCUCAUCUCUUCAAGGUCACUGUUCUUUAUAAUCUGCCAAAAGAAAAAGAAAUCGGUCAAUGGUACAUGGUAAUAUCACAACAUCACAAUACAUACAUAUUAAUGGAAACCAAAUUUUCACCUGCAACCGGCCUAGGCCAUCUGCUACUGGAAAACCAAGAUUUGGCUUAUCUGCAAAGUUGGAUUUGACAUCCUAAAAUAGGAAGCGGAAGUUAGAAGAUAAACAACAGGAGAGCCUAGAAUAUUUUUUCAGAGAGGGAGAGAACACGUACAAAUAAAAAAAAAAGGUCGUACCCAGUGCACAAGGCUCCCGCUUUACGCAGGGUCUGGGAGAGGUGAAUGUCGGCUAGCCUUACCCCCAUUUAUGGAGAGGCUGCUCCCAAGUCUCAAACCCGAGACCUACUGCUCAUGGGCGAAGGCACUUGCCAUCGCACCAAGUGCGACCUCUUAGAGACACGUACAAAUAAUAAAAAAAAUUCACACAUGUACAUAUAUGAAUUCUUAAAUACCUCACUUUCUGUUCUGUUUUGCAUCCCUGCAGCAUUGUUUUGAACCUCUUCAUUUCGAUUGGUUGCAUAAGCAGACUCAUUUUUAUCAUGCAAGUAAGAAUCUGAUGGCGUAGAUGACUGAAAAACACAAGCAGCUACUCCCUCAGCAACAGCUUGAAGUUCUUGCUUUAUUUGUUCUUCUGCUGAUCCUACGACAAAGAAGCAAAAUAAUAAGAAAAGUUCAUAUGAAAUAAUUAACUUAUCUAGAAAGAUCAUCACUUAACUAACCUUUGGACGACGGGGCAUGCUCUGAACUAAGAUCCCUGUUCAAAUUGCCUGGUGGCUGUUGGCCUCCAUCGUCCAUUCGCAUUUCUGUAUAUGGUUCUUUUCUCAAUUGUAUUUUGGUUGGCUUAGGAGGCAAUUGAGUAUCCUGGCACAAACUCCAAGGAUCUUGAUUGCUGAACAGUGAGUUUGAGGAGUCCUGGGCACCAAAACCAUUCGAGGUAAUACCUUCCCUCUCGUUAGAUACCAUCUUGGGCUGCAAUCUCAUAUUCUCAUCCUUCCAUUCAGGAGGAGGUUGAAUUCCAUCAGUGAGAUGGGUCAAAACAACAGGGGUUCCAUAAUUAGAUUCGUAAGAAUCACAAGGAUAUAUUCCAACUCUUGAUUGCAGAUAAGCUUCAGGAUUUCCCCAUAUAGAUUGUUUUCCUAAAUCAUAGAAUUCUGCUGGCUGUGAACUAUACCCAUGUGAGACUUCGGCAGAGGGAGAAGCUAGUACUUCGGUCGGGUUAAAGUGAUUCCUGCCUAAUUUGUCAACGAGGUUAUCCACAGCCACCUCUCUACCCCCAACUUGUGCUGUUUUGUGAUCAACGUUGUCUUCCAUUCUAGGUAUAUCCCAAGGUGAUUUACCAUGCUCCUUGUUAACAUAAAUCUCAGUGGGAUUUAUCCUGAGUGUUUCCAUCCUCCCGUCGAUUUGUCUCAAAUUAUCAUAUGCAGUUGGAGAUUCACGAACCAGGCAUUCUGAAGUUUCAACAGGUGCACCUCCAACAAGAGGUACAUCUUGAUUAAAAGGAUCGUUACCUAAAUUUUCCUGUUUAACCUGGUAAUGAAAUGGUGUUGGAUGUAGUUGAACAACAUCGUCUUGACAAUGCUUAGGAAUACUGACCAUGAAUGCACCAUCUGGUGAUUGCACAUCACCUCCUCUCUGGAUAACGCCCUGUGGAGAUGAAAUCUGAGAGAGGCAAGUCACAUCUGAAUGAGAUGUUACGAGAAGAGGAUCUACUGGAAUUUGAACCCUAGGGCGAGCCUCAACUCCUUGGCCAAAAUUACCUUCUCCCUUGUUCAUCGGCUGAGCUCGCAAAUUCUCCUCCAGCCGAGGACUAUAAUAAGUUGGACUUGAAUCAGAUACCGGGCUUCCGCCAAUGUCUCUCUGAACCUGUACCACAGUAUCAGAAUGUGCAUGAGGCAAUGCUAUCUGACACAUAUAACAGUCCUGGAACUUUGUGGACUUCUCGGGAUACACUUCCUGUUGGUGAGAUACCAAUGCAUCAUGGUAAAUCACAUGCUCUGGUGAUUGAACUUGAUGCCAUCCAUAAGCACCUCCUGCUGUUGUUGAGGGUACUUGAACCUGAUAGGAAUUAUAGCUUUGUUCAGCAGGAAGCUGGACGACCUUGGGAACAAAGGUACUCUCGCCUACAUACUUAUCCAACCGGGUCUGUUGUGGAUGGAUCAAUGGCUGAAGCACACUUGGUCUUAUAUUAACAUGAGAAGUCGAGGGAGUCAUUGUCAUGUGCACUGCAGGAAUGAAGUGAUGCGGGGUGAUGCCAGCAAUACUAUCACCGUAUUGCUGUUUGGUGAAUACAGGACCAGCAGUCCCCAAUAGGUGAGGACUUGGGAAACCCAUCUGAGGAGGAAGCUGGAGAUGGUCUGCCCGUGUAACAAAAUCUUGGCGAGGACCAACAUAAGUUUGCAGAUAAGGAGCAGUAGAUGAAAUGCCAAUUCCAGGUUGCUGCUGUGAUACUGUAACAGGCACAGAUCUUUCUAAUUCACCUUCCGGAUGAGAAGAUGGUGUUUGGGGAGGCCCAGACUUAACCACAGGAAUGACCAAUGGAAUUGUAGAAACUUCAGAAUAAAUUGUAGGCUUAGGAUCCACAAAUACCAGCCUUGUACUAGCAUCAUGAGAAGUAGAUGAAUCCCUUUUCGGUGAUAACUUGCCCGGUGAUGGAAGUCCAGUAUUGUCCCCCUGACCAGGAACUGAGUUAUCAACAACAUCAGUUCCACUAAAAUCAGAAUUUUGAGUUGAAGUUGCACUUGCAUUGCUCUCCUUCCUCACGAUACCAACACUCACCCCAUCCAUAAUCCCAUUGACAGCAUCAACAUAUCUCUGCUCACUAUUAUGUAAAUCCCCAAUUUGUACGACACCAGAUGGAUCAACUUCAGAAGCAGAAAACAAAAAUACCCUCAACUUUGCUGAACCAUCUGGAGAUCUCUCGACCAACUUCCCAUAUUCAUCCUUCAUAUUGUCAAGAUCAUCAGCACAUGAAACCGACACCAGUGCAUCGAGAUCCUCAUCGGGGAGCUGGUAUUUAAUGACCACAGGUUGCCCAUAUGUAUCCACCAUCUUCUGCACUAGCUCAUUGAAGCUCACAUCUCUCCGAACACUAAUCCUUGUCUGCCCUCCAACAUACCUCAACAUUCCAUCACUUGGUCUGGGCAAAAUCUUUCCGCCAAAGCUGCACAGAAGCUUUAUUUUCUUCCCAUACACAGAAUCUUCCCCACCGUCAUCACUUGCUUGUUCAGUCCCACUCCCACGACUGCCCAAAUUGGCAUUGUAACCAUAUCCCGAUGUCAAAUCAUUCCCAGUCUGAUCAGCAACAUUGCCACUGACCUUAUUGCCUAAAUUGGGAUUAUAACCGAACCCAGCUGCCAUAUCAUUAACUCCAUGAUCUAGACCACUGCCAGCACUCCUAUUAAACAUAUUCGAACUACAGUCAGAAGGCCUAGAAGCAGUUGUUGUAGUAUCAGAGCUUACAAGAUCAACAUCAUUUCCGCCGACCCGACUGCCCAAAUUAGGACUGUAACCAAUUCCAACACCAACGCCAGGGUUCACACCUGGAUGUCCCACCGGCACAGCAAUGCGGGGGCCAGGGCACCACGGGGGCACCCCCGACACGGCAUUUCCAUACCCUAGGCCAACAUGCCCAGCCUCCGAGGCAACCGGUGCUUGGUAAAAAACAGGUAUUGAAUGAGGGCUAUUAACUUCACGAACUGGGUGGCUGGGGAAAAAUCCAUCGGGGUUUCGAGCAGCUGUAGUAGCCUGCGCAAUGCGGGGUUCUUCGGCCACAGUUCGAGCUACAUUUAACUGUCUCAGUUCUUUGGGAAACGAAUUUUGAUCAAACGCCAUAUCUACAAUUAAUUAAAAAAAAAUUCAAAAUUCAAUCAAGGGUCUGCAAAAUCAAUCCUAAAUAAGAAAACCCACGAUCAAAAUUCGAUAAAGCUAAAAUCUUUUCAUCUAGAUUGCGAUAAGCUAAGGUCUUUUCAUCUGGGAUUUUCAUUUUGUUAAUUCUAAUUUAAGUACUGAAGCUUUUCUAAUCAUCUGCUAUAAACCCUAGCCAGAUUGCACCAAACUAUAACAAAAUUUUACAGCUUUAUAUCCAAAACAGGGGACAAUAAACACAAAUAAUUGAACAAAAACACACACACAGAGAGAGAGAUUAAGUACCAGAUUGAAACGUUGGCGUUUGGAGGAGAGAGAGAGUGUGUGGAAGAGAUAAGAUGGAGGAGAAGAAAAAACACAGAGAGAGAGAGAGUCCGAGUCGGUGGAGUGCAGUUUCCAAACUCCGAAGGAAUCAAAGCUCACAGUGACAAGCGUCCCCUUAGCAGCUCCUUGGCACUUUCUCGCUCUAAAAAUCUGGUCCUUUUAUUGUUCCAUCCAUCGUUGAAUAUUUUCCGUGGUGGGAUUUUAUUUUCUCGGGAAAAUGAUGUGUUUGUGAGGAAAAUGGCAGAGUGGCUGAAGAGAAAAAUUAUGGUUUUUGGUUUGAAGUCUUGGAGAAGAGAGAAGAGAGAAGGUGACGGGGGAAGCCACGUGGAAUGUUUCAUGCAAGAUUAUGAUUUAUCAGUAAAAAAGUGUAGUAUUAUGUGUUGUUGUUGGGAACCUAGGAGUACUUUAUUUUUGAUAGUGACAUAUGCAAAUAAUAUAUAAACAUAUAUAUAUAUAUAUAUAUUUUUUUUUUGAAUUUAAUGGCCUUAUCGAUGAUUCUUUAAUAUGUCGAAAAUAUAAUCUGGUAUAUUAAGUAUUAUGAUACAAAUAAUUAAAUAUUUAAAAAUAUUUUAACUAUUAAUAUAAUGAGACUUGAUAUACCAAAUUAUAUAUUUAGUGGGCUUAAAAAUUUAUCGACAUUGUGGCAAGGUAGGAGAAGACAAAUACAAAACGAAAAUCUUGGACGGUCCUUCAAAUACUACAUUAAAUUAUACUAUGCAUACAACAUAUUAUUUAAUUAAUAAUUUAUGAUAGAAUUGUUGGUAGUAAUUUCGUAUCUACUUAUGGUUACUUAUUUUAACUGCAAUCAUGCCAUUUUAAUCACAACUUAAUUGAAGCCUUAACUUCUUAUUUUUGUUCGUGAUCAAUCUUUAAUUACUUUGAUCGCAUGAUCAUGGUCAAUAUAAAUCAUGAUUGUUUUACUAAUUAGGGUUUCAAUCGUUCAAUUUUAUUUAAUUUUUUGUUAAUACAAAAAGUAAUGAAUAUUAAACACAUGCCAUUAGAAAAUUAAAAAAAGAUAAACAUAAGUUAUGAGUUUAUGUUAUAGCAUUACCACUGUUUUAAAAAUUCUGCCUAGUGCUAUCAAGGUCAUGUCUAGGCUCUGAACGACAAGCGACCACUUUGAUGAUUCAUAGACGAUUGAAAAUUAUGAAAAAACGCCUAGACUUGUUUAAGUAACUAUUCAUACUUAAGAGUAAAUUAUUAAAAGAAAAAAUGUAUGUCUACAUUCGACGAUAGAACUUACUGUAAUUCUUAUGAACUAAAGUAUUUACAGUAAGAAAUAAUUAAGUUAAUGCAUGCCAUAGAUUGUUGUAUACUAUAACUUACCGUAACUUUUUAUUUAUCCCGAAAUUGCUAACUUCUUUCCUGGUCUGAAUAGGGUAACUUCACAAUAAUUGGAUAAUUCUUGGUCCACUAUAUUUUUCUGGAUUCAUAUCGACCGUUUGAAGGACAUUUUCGACUUUCAUCGAAUCGGUGGGUGAUGACACAUCAUCAAAACUGGAAUUGCGAUCCUCUGAAUUUCUGUGUUCGAGAUUAUAUAUUCUGAGAAAUAAAACUAUAAGAAAUUUUAUUUGAACUUAUAUAAUCUCUUUCAAACUUUAAAUAUGAAUUGUCUUUCUUACUCUAUUGCAUAAUUACCGUCAGGUACAAGAUUAAAUGAACAAUAAAACCAAAAUUUAUCAAUAGACCCAUAUAUACCCAAUCAUCAAUCUACUUCUUGGUACCAUCUGGGAAUGUGUCGCGCCUUCAUCGCACUAGCUCGAUGUUACUUAUGAGCUUUUAUAUGCUUAUGUUAUUGUUUAUGGAUUCGAAGCAACCAAGGAUUCUUCAAACUUCAGAACACAUGAAUGAAAUGCUGAUUCAACGGACCAUGUGAAACUUUUGGAUUUUGUACUAAAUAUUGGAGGGAUUGGCUGAUCCAAUUUUGAUCAUUUGCAAAAAAACGCAUACUGAUUGAACAAAAAAUAAAAUAAAAACAUAUGGGAUUUAAAUAUUUAAUUUUUUUUAAUCAUCUAUAUGGGAUUAAGCAAAAUCAACAGAUGAGAUUAAUUAAAACAGAUAUGGGAUUGAGCAAAAUCAGCAAAUAGAAGGAUUACGCAUGAGACAAAUAUGUGGGAGAUAUUGUUGUCUUUAUGCCUUGAAUGAGUUUCAAAACACGAUUUUGGUUUUUUAUUUUUUAUAUGGGUGUAAAGAUAAAUUUAUGUAUCAAAUUGUGUUUGUGAGGGUAAUUUAGAUAGUAAGUUUGGGUUUAAAGAUAUAUUAAUAAUUUAGUUAAAAAUAAUAUGGGUGGAGGGAGUAAGUUGAAUGUAAAAAAAUGUUGUAUGGAUUCAAAUAAAAUUUCUAAAACUAUUCAUUUUAAACUCUUAUUAUCACACUAACUCACUGCACACAAAUAAAGCAUCUGAAUCUCUCAUACUAACAAUCCAAAUCCCUUAAUUCUUGGCUUUCUAACACCAGAGAUUCCGAUAGAUUUUCAAUUCUCAAAACUGGGAGGAUAUGAGAUAUAUUUUCCUUGUUUUUUAUAAUUUUUUAAAGGUAUAAAAAGUUCAACAUCAAAGAGGAAUAAAUCUUAAUUUAUAAGAAAAGGUGUGACAUCCGACAUCGCCCAGGGGAGUUGAUCAUGUACCUUAUAUGUAUAUUCCCAUCUCUACCUAGCACGAGGCCUUUUGGGAGCUCACUGGCUUCGGGUUCCAUCAGAACUCCGAAGUUAAGCAAGUUCGCACGAGAACAAUUCUACGAUGGGUGACCCACUGGGAAGUUGUCAUCUGAGAUCCUAGAAACAAAAACCGUGAGGGCGUAGUUGGAGCCAAAAGCGGAUAAUAUCGUGCUACGAUGUGGAACGGGUCUGGGAUGUGGUGGACCUCGGGCCGGGAUGUGACAAAAGGAAAGAGAAAAUAAUAUGGAAACUAACAUCAGCUAGUCUUUUACUUGUUUGGAUGAGGUUGGCCCAAAUUCUUUGCUUGAUAUUAAAACAAAAAGUAAAUUAAACUUCCAUACGCGGUUUCAUUAUUCUUUUUAAGAUUGACUAAAAUUCAAGAAAGAAACAUAUAUUUUGGGUAAAGAAUGAAUGUUAAAAAAGUUAAGCAUUUUGAGUUACGACUUUGUGUCUCACAAAUCACAAACAUGUUCACCAUUGAGUGUUAUGUGGUUUGAUUGGAAGGAAGGCAAUUUCUAUGAAAUUGAAGAAACUUGCACCAAACAGGUUUCGAGAAUUAAUCCUAAUUUUAACACGCAGAGAACUAACCUUAUUUCAAUAGAUAAGGAAUCCAAGUUCUUCUGCUAAACUUUAAGGCAUAAAAUACUAAAUAUAACCUUACAUAUUAAAAAAAAAACCAAAUUAACUUUUCCAAAAACAUGAGCACGAUGUAGCAAUAUUCCAAACCUAUCAAGCGGCAGUAUGUGUUGGUAACUUUUCGCGUAAAGUAGCUUUAUUAUUCUGGACCUUGACAUUUUUCAUCUAAGUAUUUACCACCGAAAGGCUCAGCACCAAAUUAACGAUAUUAGUCAAACAAAUUCGUGUCGGUAUUAUAAAAGUACACUAACUAACCAAUCGAUAUUACAUCAUGCUUAUGUGAUUCUGGUAUCUAUGGCGCACUGAAAGUCAGGUAAAAGAAAGAGAUCUGUAUAGUACUUGGCUCGAUCGUCUUUAGCAAGUAGAUAAUCCUACCCCUGUUAAGUUGUCGUUCCUCCAAUAAGCAACAAGGACGUGAAACCCUACAUUUUUUACUAUAUGUAUCCUUCCAUGUUUGAAACACCCUAAUCAUUUUGCUAUAGAUAAUAGAGGUGUGACAACGAUAAGCAUCCCAGUACGUAGUGAAGAAAAUGAGUUUCAGAAUCUGUCGUGUUUGCAUGGGCUAAUUGGUCCUGGUCGGCCAUGCUUUGUCGGUUUUAUGCAGAUUGAUUCUUGUCAUUCAUGUUUAUAAAGACGGAUAAUUGAACACGACUAACUCUAACAAUUCUCGAGAAAAUAAUUGAUUAAUUGUGGGAUUGUGUGAGAUGGAAAGUAGACCUCAACUUGCAUUGUUUUAUUUAUAACAUGUGCCCGCGCGCGCGCAAUAUGCCCUAUUGGCUGCAGCGUAGAGAUAAAUUUAUAGUCCCAAACAGUUAGGACAGUAGUAGGCCAAUAGAGGAUAAAGAAGUGGUGAAUAAACAACUGGCACCACAUGGAUGGAGACAGUAUAGUUCCCUUGUGGGAGAAAUCAGAACAUAAUUAGCAAACUAAUCGGUAGUGUAAACAGUAAUUCAGCUAGCAUAGAUUUCUCCUGAUCUGUACAUUUGACCAAUCCUAGGCUCCUAGCUAUCUAGUAAAUCUCAUGUUGAUGAAUCCGAUGAUGUUCAAUAUUACAACAAACGUAGAAGAAGGAUCAACAAAGUGCAAGUGCAUUUAAUUAACUAAUUGCUAUUUAUAUGUUUAAUGAGAAAUGUUAAGGAGACUCUCAAAAGUAAAACUAUUUGUUAACUCUAUGUCAUCUCAUGUUUUUGAUACAAUGUUUUAUAAUAUUGACACGGAAAUUGACGUUAAUUAAAUUGUCAACUGUGAGAUGACAGAGAUUUCAUCAAGAAUUAAUCUCACUUUGAGAGAAAAUCUCCUGAGCAUUUUUCAUGUUUAAUUACUAGGUUAGGAAUAUUUAGGAAGGUCAUGAUCUAAUGAACAGUUGAAUAUCAGAGUGCGGAACAAACAAGAAGAACAAAAUAAUAAGAAUUUUAUUAAACUAACUGAAUGCCGAAACGGCUACAAAAACCCUAACAAGCUACAUUGUGAAUAACUUAUUUCGAAUGAAUAACAAAUCACUCUAUUUAUAAUAAACUAACCAUAAACCCUAAUGCUAACGGGCUAAGCCCAGAAAACAAAAUAUUAAAGUAAACCUAAAUACUAAUAUUCUACAACACCCCCCGUCAAACUCAUGGCGGUAUACGACAUGGGUUUGCAAACAAGCAGAUGCGGACUGGCUCUGUUAGGCGGACAGACAGACAGGCAGGCUCUGCCGCAACGCGGACAGACAGACAGGCAGGCUCCGCAACGCGGACAGACAGACAGGCAGGCUCCGCAGCAACGCGGACAAACAGACAGGCAGGCUCCGCAACGCGGACAGACAGACAGGCAGGCUCCGCAACACGGACAGACAGACAGGCAGGCUCCGCAACACGGACAGACAGACAGGCAGGUAUGCAAACUUGACUUGACUUGACUUGCGAACUGGUGAACUUGCGAACUUGACUUGACUUGAUUCUUGACUUGACUUGACUGGCAAACUGGCUAGAGUUGAGAGUAUGGAAAGAACCCGUCACUAAACGGACGAGGUUUCCAUAUCUCAAUUAUACCAACAAACAACGAAAACAAUUCCAAACAAGGCAACCAACAAUUCUUGCGGGCCUAAAACAAACUUAAACCAUAUUUUUGACUUUUGCCCGUGUGGGCCUAAAAAAAAAACUCCAAACAAUUUUUUUCUCUUCUCUUUUUUUUUUUUUUUUUUUCCUCUCCUUUUUUUCUCUCUUCUUCUUUUUUCUUUCCUUUUUCUCUUUUCUGCUGGGCUUCUUCAGAACUGCAGCAACAUGUUUCUUGGUCUUGUGCGGCGGUGAGUUCAUAAGGCAGUGCAACAAGGAUGUGAUGAGCAGCGGCAACCUGGGUGGAUGGUGAUUGGGUGCGCGGGACGACGGCAAGGGAUCUGGGUGCAGGUGCAAGCAGGUUGUUCCGGUGGCAGCGUGGUGGUGAUCUGAUGAAGAAACGAUGGCUGGCAGGUACGGUUCAGGCAGAUGCGAGUGCAGGCUGGUGGUCUGGUGCGAGAUGGUGGUGCGGUGGUUUAAGCAGGCGAGGUGCAGGGUUCAUGUCACAGGGAACUGGACGCAGUGGAAGGUUCAGGUUUUUUGUUUUCUUAUGCAAACUAAACCAACAACAAAAAACUAGCAUACAAACUGACAAAUAACAUACCAACCCGACCAAGCAGAUUAAAUCCCAAAGGAUUGAACCUGCUCUGAUACCAAGUUGAAUAUCAGAGUGCGGAACAAACAAGAAGAACAAAAUAAUAAGAAUUUUAUUAAACUAACUGAAUGCCGAAACGGCUACAAAAACCCUAACAAGCUACAUUGUGAAUAACUUAUUUCGAAUGAAUAACAAAGCACUCUAUUUAUAAUAAAUUAACCAUAAACCCUAAUGCUAACGGGCUAAGCCCAGAAAACCAAAUAUUAAAGUAAACCUAAAUACUAAUAUUUUCCAACAUGAACUGCCACAUAUUUGGCCGGGACAAAAUCGAAGUAGCUAGCUCUUUCGUUGUUUGACAUCAUCUACCUCAGGGUGCUUGCUUCUUGUUUUGCAGCAGCAGGAAUUGCUUAAUUAUUCGCUGUCAAAGUAUCACGAGUUCUUGCAGAUGUGAGAGAGUAGCAACAUUAACAAGAACGGAUGUGCUCUCCUAUGUUGUUAUGCACUUAAGUUAAAUAUAUUUUUCCUCACAAUUAAUAAAAUAUCAGUCGUAUAAAACCAUUGCUUUAUUUCUUUACAAGGUUUUUAACCAUCCUGGAAAGGCCACCUUUUUUUUUUUUUUAUAAUUAUUAUUUAUUUUAAAUACAAGACAAUUUAGAGUAUGGGCAUUAGCCAUUUAACAUUUUUAGACCCGCCAUAUGCCAUUUAAUAAUUUAGAGUAUGGGAAUUAGCCAUUUAAACUACUCAUGUGCCCCCUCUCCUUCAUUGGAUUGUAGUAUGGGCAUCGUCAUCUUCAUUCACUACUUACGCCCCCUCGUAGUAUGGUCGUCUUCUUCAUUUACUAUUUGCCGUAUCAAAUCUGGGCCUGGGUCGACUACGUACGCGUGCAUGCAUGCAUGCAUUAAUGCGUGAAAAUUGAGCAAUAGAGAAGCUACGCGCGAAUUGCAAUUGUAAUGAACUACACAUGCUGGGAACUUCUGCAAAUCGAAUUGAUGGGGUGAAAUUAAUCAUGCAAACUCAUUCAGAUUCUAUUAAAUUUCUUUAUUAUUUGAAAUUUUCUGAUGAUCCAGUGAUAUAUAAUUAAGUUAUUCCCAAUAUAUAUAUACUUUACAGCAAGCAUUCAUUCCCAAAUUUCCCAGCCAAAAUAUACUUCAGAUUUAACCUAAUUCAGAACUAAUCGUUCGCAAAAGAAAAAAGUUUGCAGAAAAAUAAAUUGAAGGUAAAAAAAACAUAGCAACAUUAGUAACCGUGCCAAUAUAUACACCCCCAUGAAAAUUAAUUAACAAACCAUAUUUACGUUUAUGUGUAUUAUGAAACCCAAUGAUUAAUUAAUUAUUAAGAACGGAUUAAUUGCUGAGGUCUUGCCUUUGGAUCAUACGCUAGCUGUAGGCAGUUAUCUCCUUGGACGCAGGGGGAGAAGCCACAGAGUCCUGCGAUGUUCGAGGCGGCGAAUGCGGUAAUCGGGAGGAGAAUCCCAAGAGCGGGUCAUCCUCGAGGUUGGACUCCUCGUGAUCAAAGUUGAGGGCGUAGCUGAGUGCGUCAUAUUUGAAAUCGGCUGAAUGAUGCCUCCGGCCCGCGCGGCCAUGGCCAUUGCCACGUCCAUGCAUGCGCCCAAUCCAAUUUCUGCACUUGUCUUUCAAUUCUGCAAACUCGUAAUGAUUGUUGUGGUGGUGGUGGUUGUAAUGGUGUUGGGGGUGGUGAUGAUGCCUAGACCGCGAGGACCGGGGAUUAGGGGAGAAUGAGGAGGUUUGCACGAGGCUGACAUUAUCAGCCUCAUGCGGAGUGGGAGGCGCCGUGAGGGCGCCGUGGUGGUGAGCUUUAGGAGUAGGGAAGCAUGGGAUGAUGCAGAGGGAGGAGCGGAGCUUUUGUUUGAGGGAGUUUGGGGAGCAGGGUUCGUGGUGGUUCUCCAUUAUUUUGAUUUGUGUGGAGAGGUUAGGGGUGGUGGUGGUGGUAUUUGUGUUUUUAUUUGGGAGGAGGAGGAGGCCCCGUGGAGAAGGUGCAAUGACGGAUGAGGACACGUAGAUUUCCGGAAUUCAUGGGAUGCUUUUGGGGUUUCUGGUCAUUUGACGUUGUUCAGAGAUUAUCGCUUUUUAGGGUCUUUUUUAUUUUAUAUUUUUUUCCUUUCGAUAAAUCUGAAAACCAUGUUGGGCCAGAAUUUGAAGGUUAAUAUUGUCGUCCAUUUGCAUGACUUAUGGGCUGGGCUCGAAUACAAAAUUGGAAUGUGAGCUUGAACAUAGCAUAGAUUUUAUGGUGUGAUUAGUUUUUCUUGUUGCCCAAUUAAGAAAACUACGUGCUUAUGAGAUGAGAUUUGGUGCCGAUGUGGUUAAGCGAGUUGAUUUUUUUUUUUUUGGUCAAACGAUAAGUUUUGUUAGAUUAGUCAUUGAUGGGGUUCGAACACACGCUAUCAUGUAAGGGCUCAACACAUUUUCAUCAUUGUGGUAAAGAGCCACUUGUGUUAAGCGAGUUGAUUAGGACUGUGUUUUUUUUUGUACAUGAGUUCGAAUUUUCAUUAUUAUAAGUUAAGAUUAGUUUAGAAUAUCACAUUGUUGGACAAAAACAAAGGAAGAUUUGAGUAAUCCAUUUGAAUUUUUGUUUAUUAAUUUUCUUUAAUUUAUUCGAUCUAAGAGCUGAAGAUUAAGAAAAGUAUAUGAAAGAUAAAAAUAAGUGUCUUUUAAUAUUAGUUUGUAUGAUCCUUAGAACCCAUGGUGUGUUCUUCCUCACAUGAUAAGAUCUUUGUCCAUAUCCUUUGUGUAGUAAAAUAUUGUAGAAGUGGGGUUGGGGUUGAUACGUUUGUAUUGUUUAUUGAGAGAAAAUAUACUCACUCCUGACAUUUGUGAUUCUCUACACCUUGUCUUGUUUUUAACUUUGAAAAAGAUUCACUUCUAUUCAAUUUUGAUAUUAUUUAUUGAUAAAUUUGAUCAUUUAUGAUAUAAUUUCUUUAAAUAGUCGAUUUUAUAUGUGGGGUAAGACGCCAUUUGUGUGUACAAUCAAAUUGACUUUCAGGUUAUAAGGACAAAGACGUCUCAUUAUCACAAUGAAUGAGACCACGUGGAUUGGAGAUUGGACUUACGUGCGACCCGAUAAUACCCUCAUAUAAUGCAGCCCGUUCAUUUGUGAGAGUGUCUGACCAUCUAGCUGGUCAGACUGCUCUACUCACAAUUCUGAAAUAAAAUUUAAUAGUUAAAACACCUGUUUCAUUGAAGCCAAACUUUUCCCCCUCUUAAUUCUACUUGAUUCAUUGAAAUAGUGCAAAAAAGAAUGUGCAAAUUCACUACCCUUUUUACCUAAACACAAAAACAGAAGAAAUGAAGUACUCAACAAAACCAUUCACUGCAGCCGAGAAAAGACAUUUUAUUUACUAGAAAGCCCAAUGAAACAUUACAAGAAGAGAUUUGGUUGAUCACGUGGCUCACCCUUGUCCCUUAAUAAGUGCCAGGUUUUCAGUUCAUAGCAACACGCAGCACCACUGUCUCAUUCGACACACACCUCGUGGACUUGUUGGAAGCUUUCGGUUAAGUUGCACUGAAACUCCCUCAACCUUUCCAUCCCAUGUCUCUCACCUUUUCUUUGUUUUGUUUUGUCUCCUCAUCUUUUACUUUUCUUUUGCUCAUUUUCGUUGAAGAAUAUAGCCCCACAUCGAAAACCUGACUGCAGUAAACACUAUUUAUUUUUGUUUUACCAGUAGUAGUAGUAGGCCGUUGAACCGUCUCUGAAACUUUAACGGUUUUCACUGGUACAUAAUUGAGAGGAGAGAGAUGAAGAUGAUUGAUGCAGAUCGUAUAUACAACCAUCAAUGGUAUGGACCCCUCUUUUGUCUGCCACCAUAUUUUGUUUCCAUCUUAUUGUUUAACUUCCCUCUUCUUCUUCUUCUUCAUUUCUUUGGAAAAUAUUUCAGGACCAAGCAGCUUUUCAUGGUGGAAAAACUGUAUCAUUUAUAAGAGAAAUAUAUACAUAUAUAUAUAUAUAUAGAGAGAGAGAGAGAGAGAGAGAGAGAGAGAGAGAGAGCUACACUUGUUUUCUUUGUCGGUUUUGAGUUGUUAUUUGGAGGUUGAAAUUAAUGGCUGGAAUGCUUCCUGGUGUGGAAUGCGCUCGGAGGAGACGAGUCCAUCAGAGCGGAGAGUCACCGUGCGUCGGCGGCAUCCAUGGCAGCACCAGGCGCUCUUCUUUCUGUUUGUAUGCUAGCAACCAUGAAUCUCACCACACCUCCACCUCUUCACUGGUAAUUCUAUCGCUCUCUGUGUUUUUCGCUCUCUCAUUUUCUUGGAAGCAUCCGAUUUUUCUUACCCUCGAAAAUGAAUGAAUCAAACAAGAAUCAAUCGAGGAAAAGAAGAAGAGAGCGCAGAAGGAGAAACGAGAAACUGGAGUGUGAAAAUCGCUGUCCUACCGAUUUAAAUUACAAGCAAAUAUAAUUUUCUCCUGUUGUAUAUGGAUUAUUUUUCAUGAUCAUUGUUUCAAUUUGCAUGUUUGAAUCAUUAAUAACAGUAUUAAUUUAUUGGACACAAUAGCAAAGAAGCAUACUGAACCAAGCAUACAUGGAUGAGAAGCUGGGAGUGGAAGCCAGAGAAGCCAAGGGGAGAUUAGAUGAAAGACUGAGAACACAAAGAAAACCACAACCCAAAAGGUAAUUAAUUUACCAAUAUGUGGUCCGGCUAUGAAACAAAUUGUUGCUGACACAUCAAUAAUGCCUCGAUAUCCAUGUUAUUGAUGCGUUCUUGACAAUAUCAAUGAAACAGUUGUUCCUUCAUGCACAUAAAAUUUCUUAACAAUAAUGGUUCUUGCACUAACAUACGCGACGGGAAUAAAUUUCCUCUCAUUCUUUUCUCCUUCUGCAAUACCUGUUUAUUUUUGUCUCUCGAUUUUCGAUAUGUUUUAACUAUGUGUUUUAUUAUAUUUGUGAUAAAUUUAGGCAUACUAAUGGUGGUAACAAGGGACUGAAAUGUGUGGAUGGAGGAGGAAGAUCAUCUGUCUUGCUUGGGGAGUUGCAGAAAGAAGUUUACGGAGCAAACAAGAGUAGUAGUAGUACAAGUGGGUCAAAGAAGUUCAGCUGGUCAAAGCUGACCUGGAAGUCAUCGGACCAGGAUGAGUGUGCAGUCUGCCUGGAGAGGCUCAGGCCAGGUGAGACCCUGGUGCACCUGCCCUGUGCCCAUAGGUUCCACUCUGGUUGCAUGGUUCCAUGGCUUCACAACAAUGCCCAUUGCCCCUGUUGCAGAAUGGAGAUUAUCUCCUAGUAAUUGUAUUGGUAAUUUGGUAAAUGCAAAUUGUAAAAUAUAGAUUGAGCUUGCAGUUGCAGUUGUAGAGUUGGUUUGAAGUUUGAACAAUUAACUUUGUGGUGCUAAUUGUUUGGUUACAAUAUGUUUUUGUUAAAGUGAAUAGUUGCCAAGUAGUCUUUGUGUGAGUAGAUAGUUUAUGCAAAUUUGUGGGAGAUUAUAAUUCCACACAUUAAUCUUGAUGUAGGACAAGAUAUGGGUCAAUUCCGACGAAAAAAUAUCAAGAAAAUAAAAUGUUUUAGAGUUUGGAAAGAAGAAUUAAAGUUGGGCUAUAUCAGAUUUAAUUAACAUCGCGACAGAAAAAGUAACAAGAAAUAUUAUCGUGCUAGAAUUGAGAGUAAUAUGUCCUUUUUGAAGAGAAUGCAAGAAGAACAAGACUCAUGGUUAUAAUAUGAGCCCGUCAUGUUUACGGCCAUUCGAGGUUGUUUAAACUCCCAAAACAACAUUUUUAAAGUCUAAUAAAACAACCUUUCAUGUCGUUUAAUUUACUAAGACCCUGAGCUUCCCGAGGGGUUGUGUUUGUGUCUUUUUAAGUCGUUUGGCUCCUAAUGUAAUGUAUCAAUUCAAAAAAUAAUCAAACAACCUUUCGAUUUUAUCCAUCUAUGAUGGAUUCCAAAAACCUUGGUUCUUCAAGAUUUACGUUUGUAAUCCUUAUAUGCUCGUGUUGCGUCAAAUCUCUUCCACAUCUUUCGGGAAAAUGCUUGACUAGUUAUAUGUAGCGUUUCUCAUAACAAACAAAUCUCAAUCUGACUUUUAUAAACGAACUUUUUCAGUUUUUAUUUUUGCAAGUCACUUUAGUAUAUGUGAUAGUCUACAUAAGGAAUAACUCUUUAAUUAUUGUAAAGAGUUAAACAUUAUUCCAAAAUUCUCAAUGAUUUCCAAAUUAUUGAACCAACAUGUGAUCUCCAAUACAAAAUUUUAAGAGGUGCAAUCCCUUUUGUGAAUGAAUGUAAUUGCACUACAUAUCACUAUCCAUCCAUCCAACCUCCCCACCUUGAAAUUGAAUAUCAGAUGAGAGAAAAGGCUCCACUCAUGUGACGGGUGGGACAAGAACAGGUGAAUUAUAGGACAGUCUUUGCUGUCUUGGUCGACCUUUCUCUUGUUUAGUGGAAAUCAUUUGUUCUUGCACUAAUCAAAUGUUAAUACCAAUCUUCGCUUCCAAUUAAGGGAGAUCAUGGUGAGAUCAUAACAACUUAAGUCGCGAAAAAGAUGGGCAGUAGUGGAUCCAUGAGUUUUUCGUUAAUAAGUGAGGUCAUAAAAGUUUGGUGCGGUGUUCUUACUUAAGUAUUUUUUUGGUGGGUUUUUUUGGUGCGGUGUCGCUUGAGCCUUCAGAGACUGAGGAACGAGGAUGGAAAUUGAGUGACGUGAGUGAAUUUGGGUGAAAUAGAGGAUAAGGGAAGCGUACUGAAUGGGACACAAACGCAAACCUAAGAAUAGAAAAGCUAGAAUUCACUAGAGAUUGGGAUAAACCCGAAAGAUUUUUUGUUCAUUUAUGAAUCAAUACAUUACACUGGGAGCCAAAUGGCUUAAAUAGACUUAAUUUGACUUUGGGAAGUUCGUAUCAAACCUUGUGAAGUUCAUAGAAAGUCUAAUGAAAUACAAAAAUAUUGAUUAGAUUGAAAAAUGAAAAGUCUGAUUUUAUUACCAACUUUAAAAUGCUGUUUUGGAAGCUGAAACGACAUCAGAUGGUUAAAAUCUGUUAAGGAAUUUUCAAACCUUGUGAAGUUCAUAUCUUGUCCUACAUCAAGGUUUUGGAUAAAAAUAAGAUUUGCAGCCUUGCUUCAUCCUGUUUUGUUUAGCUGUUGAGUUGGCAAAAUCCGAGUCAUUUUCAUUAAACAAGUUUGCCAUAAAAAUGGAGUAACAAGUUAAGACUAAACCAGAUAAAAGAUUCGGUUCUCUCAAACAAGACCGAAAAAAUAUCAAUAAAAUAUAUUCUAUGCUUUGAAGGUGGAAUGUCAUUUUCUCCUAUAAAAAUGAAGCAUGCUAACUUGGAUUUUAUCCUAAUUUGGGUAAAAUCUUCUUCUUUUCCUACCCUAAUCCUUGUUUUUGUGUCACGACUGGCUAGCUGGAGGUCACUAAAGAAUGGACCCAAUUUAGCUAAUUUAUCUUUGUCUUGAUUAUAUAGAUGGAUAAAUGAUUAGGCAAGGAUUGAUAAACUUUGAUUAAUUAUUCGUUGAUUGAUUGGAGUGACGCAAGAGUCCAAAACUUUUCAAAGUUUUCAAUGUGAUGUGUGACUAAGACAUAACUCGGAAAGGAUGAGCGGCACGAAUAAGGUUUCUUUAUGUCCAAUCAAGACAAUGUCGCGAUCGAAAUUGAGCCGAAAUUACAAGCAGUAUAAAUUUUGAAAAUUAUACAAGUUUUACAGUGUAGGGUUACUAUGUGAAGAAAAAAAAACCACGCUUUUAUAAAACUUUAUUUUUCAGCCCACUCCAGUUUACUGUUUUGUAUUCCUUCAAGUUUUAGUACAUAUUUCCUGGUGCGACAAGAGUUUGUGGCGGUUUUGACGAUCUUGACACAAUGUGGGAAUUCAUAUUUUUUUAUUUUAUAUAUAUCCAUCUUGUGUGGGAUGAGAAUUUAGUCUUACUUCUUGACCAUUUAUCUAUGCUCUGACACUCUCGUAUGUAUAAAUAGGUUCAUAAAAGAAAAUCAAUAAAAAAUAAAAAUAAAAAUAAAAACUUUUGCCAAGGGGAAGGCAGCGAACGACGCCGUUCGGUGGACCAAUUAUUUUCAUUAUUUUGGCACCUUUGCGAAUUUUACCAUUUUAGACUCUUCCCGCAACGGCUAGUUUCCUAGUGACCGUUUUCCCGUCUCCCAAAUUUCAAAUCUGCAAUCGACCUUCAACCCACCAUUAAUCUUCUUCACAUACCGCAACUCCCAGAAAUCUCCUUUCACUUUUCGAAAAACACCCGCAAAACCAAAUCCAAAUCCAAGGCUCUGGCAACUUGUCGAAUUCGAUCUCCGUUAAACCCACUUGGCAAUUCAAAUCAAGGACCCAGAAUUUCAAAAAUGGUAUAUUCAUACGCGCCCGCGUACUACUCCACAAUCCACGACUCCAUGACCUCCCUGUGCAAGUCCAUUCUUCCCUUCAGCUUCAAGAAGCGGCGGUUGCCUGCGGCGGAGCAGAGGCUUUCGAAGCUGCAGUCGGAUAACCUCAAGUGGCAGCAGGACUCUUUCCACCAGAUUCUGAACUUGAUGGGUCUUCACAAAGAAGGCAUCUUGGCUGAGACCGAGGUGUCCGCUUUCCGAUUGCAUUUGCUCGAAACCCUCAUUGCCUCUCAGGUGGCGGAGCACGAACAGCCGGUUAUUCUGAGAGACAAGUUGCUGUUCUUGCAGGUAAAAUGCCAGUCUGCAAUCUCAACUCUUUCCUUUUUUUUUUCAUUUCGAUUGGAUUUUCUUUCUUGGUUUUCUGAGUAACCAAGCAAUGUUUAGGAGCUCUUGUAUGCGAAAUGCAUAUCGGAAGACGAGUACCAUUCUUCGAAAAGGCCGUUGCUGCAGCGAUUAGAGGCACAGGGAGCUGAGAUCGAGGCCAAAGAUAUAAUCGCUUCAGGGUCGCUGCCAGCGAAGGAUCCGAAAGAGAAUACAGAUCAAGAGCAGUGGUCGGAAAUUGACUUGAAGGAUGAGAAAUGCUUGCUAACGAAAGAUAAAGAGGGUUUGAAUUCGAAGAACAAAUCGAAACACAGCUCGGCAGUGAAACAAAUCAAAGGGGCAGCUUCGGUGUUGGGAUUUGUAUCACCUUACAAACAUGGGAAAAACAGGGGAGAAAAGAGCAUAUUCGAUUUGCCUGAUUCGUCAAAAUUCUCUUCUUCCAGCUCUUCUAAGCAUCAAGCAGGAGAUCAAUCGUCGAUUCUUAUGCCGGAAAGCUUGCCACAGGUGCCGGUGAAAGAGAACGGCAGCGCAGAUCGAACAAGGAGGAAACCGUUUAGGAGUCUGUUUCAGAGAGAACAGAAAGAGGGUCAGGGGGAUCAUGCCCACGAAAAUGAACAAACACCUUCGAAAUCGGCCAAAAAGCAAUGGGGUUUUGAUGGAUUCAAGAAAUGGAAGAGGAAUGAGUCGGAGGACGAGACAACUCCGCUGCCGCUAAACGAACGAUCGGAUAGUGAGGCUCACUUGAAGCUUGUUCCAAUCCCCAUGGGUGAAGGGCCAGACACUAAGCUCAUAAAAAGGAGGCUGCUUUCGGAUGGUUCUCCUUCCGAUUUCUUCAUUGACAAGGUUCAAAACCGUAUGAUUUAAUUUCGUAAUUUGCUGGCUUAUAUUUGAAGCAUGAUCCGAAAUUGAAGGUUGUUUUUUUUCUUAUUUUUGUAUGAUCUGAAGGUUUUAGGGGAGAAGAUAAAGAAGGAGCUGUCAAGAAUUCAGUCAGAGCUUUGCGCUUCAAAUCCAAAUCUUCGAUUUACGUAAGCCUUUUGAUGAGUCUUUCUUACAUAUACAUUGGUAUCGAAAAGCAAUCUUUUUGUAUCGAAAACAUACGAGUUUGAUUCUUGUGAUUUGCUCAGGAAUGAACAAAUUGAAGCUAUUUCGACCAGGCUUCCGGUGGACAAGGCUGAUCUGAAGAAGUUCUUUCCCAAGUGAGCAAAUCUUCUCUAACUAAAACCACCGCCCCCUUGUACUUUCUCUCUUAUUUUUCAUUGGAUUUUUGUUUCGUUUUCAGGUCGUGGUGCGAUCGGUAUGGAGAAGUUGUUCUGGACGUGGUGAGGAAAGAGUUCAAGGAGCAUGUUGGGGAGAUGGAGAGCUUGAGAAAUGCGGCAAGAGAGAAACACGGUAUCCACUCAGCGCGAUGGACUGCAUUCCAAGAUGACGAGGAGAAUUGUCACCCGAAUCUCUUUGCUCCGCCGCGAGACAACAACCACAAUUAUACUUCAAAGUUCCAUGAAACCAAUCCGUUCUGUGAUGAUCACAUUCACACCACCCCUAGGAAGCUGAGAUCGAAACCGGCAACUUAUACACAAGAGCAGAACCAGAACCAGAAUCCCUUUUGGAUCCCGGGCACGGCUACUAAUGCGUUUUCGUUGAGUAGCUGCUUAAUAUGUAUUUUGAUUGAGAGAUCGCUUGAUAUGUUGUAUGAACUUUGAGAGAAGAACGCUGUUCUUCCAAGCAUUCAAACUUUAUGUUUGAUUUGUAAAUGUAGGCAAUGUAUUAUCUCCUUCAAUGUUUCGGAACUCGAUUCGCUCCUUGAUUUUUAUUUUCUUAGUUCUUCUCACUCACUAUUUGAAAUCCUCUAAAGGGCCUUCAUGCAAAUAUCCAACACGCGUGUAAUACAAGAAACAAAUCAAUCGAAACAUACGACAUGAUCAUCAGGAGUUGGGGUUACUUGCGAUGCAGGUAAAGUGGUCGAAUUGGAUUGGAAAUCAAGUUAAAAAUCGCAAAUUCGGCAGCAAGAGGAAUUUUUUGCAGACACCUGAACCCCGAGUCGUCCUAACCAGAGACUAUACCUUGACAACAAAACUAGCAAGAUUUAUUCAAGACAUUCAAGUAAAGGCAAAGGAAUCUGCAAGCUUUUGAGCAAAAUGGAAGGUCCGUUACCAAUAAUUCCAGCAAGAAACCCACUAUGUGAAAAAGAUAAAAGAAAAAGCAGAUAACGCUUCACCCCAGUCGUGAAAAGCAAUCAUGCUUAUACACCUUGGGGCGGAUUAAAAGAACUUUACAACAUUACAAAGAACUUAAAGACAUUAUAGCUAUCCUUGGGUUUCAAUCCCUAAAGAACUUCAAGACGUUAUAGCUAUCCUUGGGUUUCAAUGCUCACUGGUCCCCUCGCUCUUAACAAUUAACAAUCUAACUUACUAACGCUAUCGUUUGUCUAAAAAUAAAAGCCAAAAAUACAUAACCAAAAAACACACUAUAAGAUCCCACAUCGCCCACACAGUGAUCCUUAAAUGUAUAUUCUCAUCCCUAUCUAGCACGAGACAUUUUGGGAGCUCACUAGAUUCGGGUUCCGUAGGAACUCCAAAGUUAAGCGAGAAGGAAGCUAGAGCACUCCCAGGAUGGGUGACUCACUGGGAAGUUGCUCGUGUGUUCCCAGAAGGCGUGGUCGGGACCCAAAGCGGACAAUAUCGUACUACGGUGGUGGAGCGGACCUAGGAAGUGGUCCGCCCCGGGCCGGGAUGUGACAAACACCAAGGUAAAAAGGGAAAAUACUGAAAGAAAAAAAAACGAAAAUCCCAGGGUUUGCUAUGUUUGAAGCCUCUUUGUUGAGAUGAAGAUGCCAAUUCAUGCACAUUGAUAUGUAAGUAUCUCGUUCUUUCAAUCACUAUAAAUCCGCAUCAAGGACGGCAGACGCUACAAUAUCGUGGAUUUCGGAAAAAUUCAGAUACAAGUCAGUCUUGGGGGACCAAAACAUGUCCUGGUAGAUGCGAAGAACCAUCUUUAACUAUAUACAUUACUGUGUAGUAUGUACAAUUAAAUCAAAGAGAAGAUAUCUCCGAGUUAGGGACAGAACAGUCGGUGAAACCCUCACGAACAUCUCCUCGGCAAAGCGGGCAAACUCUGUAAGCAGGAAUGAACAGAGAGAAUUUCGGUGAGAAAAAAUACAUGGGGAAAUGAAGGACAAUCAUGAAGGGGGGAAAAACAGAGGAUGGCAAUGACAAUACCCGUGUAUCUCUUUGAGCCACUUAUCAACGCAUGACAUGUGAUACUCGUGAUGGCAGGGAAGAACUCGAAUUUUGUCUCCUUCCUCAUACUCAGCGAGGCAUAUGUAACACCUAUCAAUUAUUAACUCACCAUGAUCAAACAAAUUCAUUAUGCUCCCUACUGAUGAAAUCAUUUAAGUAAAACUUACUGUUCAACAUCAUCCCCGGACUUUGGUUUGUCAACCUUUGUGUGACUUUUAAGAGGAAAACCAUCAACAAGAGAUGCUGGGGCAGGAGCUGAGACCAUCGACAGUGAAAGUGACACAGGUUGGCGGUGAAUCUCAUCCAAAACCUGCACAUCGCACAUUACAACAAAAUUAGGUUUGAUACAUUCAUAAGGUACACAGUAAUCUGUUGUGUAAUAUCUGCCCCUAAGCUUAACCGUCAAACAUAGAUAAAAACUGCGCAAACCAUAUCACAGCCGUUCAACCUAGAUUGGUAAACAUGCAGCCAAAGCCCUCAAAGAGACCUCAAGAAGAAGAAUAUACUAAAAUCAUCGCUGAUUUAAUUACGUUGCUUAAAUACCCUCCUAACUUAAGACAUAUGCAAGAGUGCAGAAAGAAAAUUACCUCAAAUAGAGCUUCGGCGAGCAUGACAAUUCUUGAUAUACUUGCCCGAGUACUAGACUCUUCAGCCAUCAAGAAUGAGCCACAUGAGCACAUGCCACGAGGGUGGAUUCCUGUGGGACAAGAGGUAUUACGCUGGCCAUUAUCAUCAAGGCCAACACGAAGUCUUUCCCAGACCUACAAAGAGUCAUGCAGAUGCAAAUCAAUGAAAAUUACUAGUGGGACCCCAAAAAAUAAAGCUGCUAUAGUUUACGGAUUUCUCCGGCCCGUAAAACAUCUGGAUAUAACACUUCAUAAAGUAUAAAAGAACCUUUGAUGAAUGAUAUAUUUGUAAACCAUGUAAAUGAACAUACACAUAUACAAAAUACAGUUAAGCCCCCAUACUCUCGCAAAUGAAAAAACUCAAUUUUAAGAUCCAAGUUAAGCCACGUGACUGAAACAUCAUAAUAUUUUUUAAUGUUAAAAUCUAUCACCUCAGAUCUAGAAUGUCGCCGUCGUUCACUCGAGUUGGGAAUUCUAUUAGCCCGGUGACCAGAAUCAACUCCAAUUUCAUCAUCAAAGAAAUCACCACUCAAACCAAGCAGCCAUCUGUCAUGAAAUCCCAUAUCCUCGGUAUCAUCAGUAGAGAAAAGAAUGGUUGGUGAAUCAAUAAACCUCCUGGAGCUGCGCCUUGAAAAUGCAUCCCAGAACAGUCGCCUGCCAUUCCUUCUAGCCUCACGAUUACUUGCAUCAGCAUUGCUACUCCUCAAAAAGUUGGAAGAAAUGCUCAUAACAUCAACAUGAAGUACACUUCCAUCUUCCUGGCCUUGUUCCCUAUUGGACACAAGGAAUCCUAAACCAGAAGGUAUUGCCUCCCGAAGGGAAUCAUUUCCAAGUGAGUCGAAAGUCGACGGAGUUUCAGAAACAUUAGCAGAAUCAGUAUCAGCAUUAAAACCCUGUACACCCCUUACGUCAGCCACAUGAUUCUCAACAGACACUUCCUGAGAACGGGAAUUCCGAAUCCCUUGUGGAGAUGAGCUACUUGGAAGCAUAACCUCGGGACAGGUCUCAGAUACAUUCUUGUCUGCUGAAAUGUCAAUGCCAUUGACUGAAUCCACAUUAGCAGAACCAUUCAAAGAGACUGUUUCUGAAGAUUGUUCUUGUCUAAACGAAGUACUAGCGGUAGUACUAUUAUCCCUACAAGAUUGAUCAUGACUAUAAUCGGCACUUACCUGAUGAGGUAUUAGUUCUUUACUUUUGGACAAGCACUUCCCCCGGUUAAUUGUGUCAACACUGCUUAAUCCUUCUUCAACAGUGCUCUCAGAUGAUGAUCCAAUUUCAAUAAUGGGGCAGGUGAACAGUGGUCCACUACUGGAGACCAACGAGGAUCCUUCUCCAGAGUUCCGGACUUGAUUGAUAUCAAGAUCAGAUUGCUCUGCAUAUUUUACACGACACUCAGGUGCGUGAUCUUCCAUCUGCAGGAAAAGUACUGAAGCAAAUCAGUCUCCUUAUGCAAUCUAUAUGACUAUAACUACCAAGUACAAAAUGAUUCACGAAAUUUGAAGGGUAUUGGUAGAAAAGGUCAAAAAACACUAUCAAGGCAUGAAGCAAAUCAGUCUCCAUAUGCAAGCUAUAUGACCAUAACUACCAGGUACAAAAUGAUUCACGAAAUUUGAAGGGUAUUGGUAGAAAAGGUCAAAAUACACUAUCAAGGCAUGAAGCAAAUCCGUCUCCUUAUGCAAUCUAUAUGACUAUAACUACCAGGUACAAAAUGAUUCACGAAAUUUGAAGGGUAUUGGUAGAAAAGGUCAAAAUACACUAUCAAGGCAUGAAGCAAAUCAGUCUCCUUAUGUAAUCUAUAUGACUAUAACUACCAAGUACAAAAUGAUUCACGAAAUUUGUAGGGUAUUGGUAGAAAAGGUCAAAAUACACUAUCAAGGCAUCAAUACAACUACGUAACACCACAGUUCUUUGGCCACCAAAAAAGGUAUUAAACUUACGUUUCUAUACUGUCCAUCAUAAGAGAUGUGCAUUUACUCCCAAAUGAACACAAGUAACACAAGAAUAAAUAACUUCAGUUAUACGCUAAAUAGACUAAUGCUAGGUAUCUCAACUUCAAACCAACACCAAGCAAAAUUUCUGCUUCAUGACUUCAUGGAAAUAAUAUAUUGAGGUUGUCAUCACAAGUGCAUCGCAAAGCACUAAAUAAAAACAACUGCAAUCAUUUGAUAUCUAAUUACAUGCCUCUACUUCUCCAGAAGAUUCCUAAUACGUUCGUCAUGAGGACUCCCAUGAACAAUAAUAGACUUGCACACAAUUAUAUACUUAUAUUCUAGCAAAAUAUCUUUACUCAUCCAAACUUUUCUAAAUCUUCCCUAUCUCCCGAGAAUGGGGGCAUAUAUACACAGAAACAUUUUUACCAACCACUUCACACUACUACAUCAGCAGCAUGAUUGAUUCCCAGCUCAAGAACAUAAGUUGCGCUAAAGACUACGUGAUCAUUUAUCCGCACCAUUAAGAACCUUGACCUUCAAGUUCUACGAUCGUAAUCAAACUUUCUCCAACCAUUUCCCUGAGCAUCCUACCAACCACUCAUCGGGGAUCAUCAUUAAAGUUCAUAUUCAAAAACACUAAAAAAUCAAACAACAUAGUUCAGACCCCGAAAACAAAGUUAAAUCCUUUUUCCUCAUUCACGAUUGUUAUACUGGACUUGAACAAAUGUAUACAUUAAAACAAACAUAACUCGAACUGUCAAUUCAAUGUCCCCAUUAAUUAAAUCCCCAAACUUUUUUCAACAACACGGUCGCAUAAUUAGCAGUUUUAAAAUAUGAAUACAAUAUUCACAAUUGCAGGGAAAUUAUAACGAAAAUUCAAAGUAACUGAGUCAUUAUGAUAUUACCGAGCACAGGGCCAAUCUUCUGCAUCAGCUGGACAAAUCCCAUAGAUUUUUAUUGGAUUGUAACUUGAAUUGAGGAAAAUCAAACCCCCAAGAAAAUUAAUUUAAUGAAAAAAGCUUAAAAUUCUUCUAAUUUGCACCAAAUGAUCAAAUCCCAAAUCAUCCAAAACCAGUAAAAAUCGAAUUUUGCAUCAAAAAAUGUAAAAAGUAUGAGAAAUCCAAAAAUGGGCAUUGACGAUUGAAUUGAAGGCAUCGAUUUUAGUGGAGGACGAUGAAGAAGAAGAAGAAAAGGGUACCUCGUGAGUAGCACGUGCAGAGGAGCCACCACAGACGAAAGAGGAGAGUAUGGAACGACUGGCGGUGCGAUUGACUCGGGGCCGAGAUGGGCGCGAGCCCAGUCGACUGCUGCUCGAACCCAUUUGAGAGAGAGAGAGAGGAAGGAGAGAGAGAGAGAGAGAGAGAGAGAGAGAGAGCGCUUCAGAGAUGGUGAUGAAUGAUGAUAAUUGAAGCAAACCGGCUGAGAGAGAGAGAGCUUUCCAUUUUUCCUUUUUUAUUUCAAAUUCAAUUUUCAUUGUGAACUAAUGGUUUCUACAGUGGACCAGGCUUGACCGACCCAUCAAAUAUAUGGGUCUGGAUCAUCAAGUUUCGGCCCAAUGUAUUCAGUAAAAAACAAAGCUAAGAGCAACUCCAUAUUUAAAAAAUGAGAUGACUCAAAGUCCAUUUAAUCCACCAAAAUGAAUAGUAAUUGACUUUAAUGAACAAUAAUUGUCCAAGUGCAUCAAUUCCUAAAAAAUGAGCUGGGUAAGAGUUUAGUCAAUUCGUAUUAAAAUAUUAUUAAUUUUUUUUAUAAAAAAUUAAAAAAUAAUUUUAUUUUUAAUUUCGGAUAGAAUUUUUAACCUCUUGUCACGUUACGUGUCAUUUUCCGAAAGUACAAUUUUUGUGAAAGAUGGUUAGGUAUAUAUAUAUAUGUAUAUAAUCUUUUAUUUUUUUCUGUAUUUUUAAACAAAUUUUUAUAAUUUUUUAUUAAGUUAAUUAAUCUGGAUCAUUGGAUUUCAAAAAAUAAAAAAAUCCAAUAGCCUAAAAAUGGACAUGUGACCCAUGGUAAGAUUCUGAUAUUUUUUUUAAUGCUGGAACGCACACCUACGCAAGCGUGUAUCCCACGGGCCAACAGCAAAAAAAAAAAUUCACAUGGCUGACGUCAGCUUGGCCUCAUGUAGGCCGGUCUAUUGCUCAGUCCAUUAUGUGUUGGGCUCAAAGGUGGCCUCCACUUUGGGCCAACCUAUUGGGUGGGGUGAAGUUGGUUUUUUUUUUUUUUGGGGGGGGGGGGGCAGCCUAAAAAUUAGACUUUGAGCUAGCACAUUUGUUAGGGAUGAAAUGCUCUAAUAGAAAAAAUGUUAGGCUUAUCAUAUUUUUAAUAUUUCAUGUGUAUAACAUUUUUAAUAAAUAUGGGAUCUACAGUGUUAUUUGCACACUAAUUUUUAUCUCUCACAUAUUCUUGUUAAUUUUUAUUGACUCAUCUUCUUCAAUUCAUAUUGUCGACCGAAAAUUAAGAGGAGUGCGUGAGAAGAAAAAUGAGUGUGUAGAUAACGCUAUUGUAUAAAAAAUUUGAUAAAUAUAGUAUUUACUCUUAUGAUAGAGAUAGGGUUACGUGUUUGGUAUAUAUACGAGUACAAUGAAGCCAUGACAUUUGUAGUGGUGAUUGGUUACAUUGGUAUACUUGAGAUGUGAGGCAAAUUUAUUACCAUCACAAAGAUAAUUAUGAAACUUAUGGGCCUUCUAUUUUACUAAAAAUUGACCUCCAUCGUCCAUAUAUGAAACUUAAACUUGGAGAAAGAUCGUAUACGUUUUAUGAAAGGUUUUUUUAUCUGACAUGGAAUGAGAUAUGGUUUUCUUAACUAAGAUGUGAAAGACAAAAUUAUUCCCAUCACAAAGAUAAUUAUGGAACAUGGGCCUUAUAUUCUACUAAAAUUUGACAUAUUAACUACAUUUUACUAGAAAGAUGUACAUAAAGUUAUACCCAUUUUGGGAAAGUUAUCUAAUUUGACAGAGAAAAUCGAUAAUUUCAAAUGUGUCAAGACGUGUGAUUAUCUCUGUUUAAUUAUAAAUUGGAGGUAGAGAAAAAUGGCAGCACUUUAAUUGUAGUGUGUUUGAAUAGUUGAUCAAGGUAUCGGCAGAGAAAUAUCGAGUUGAAUUGUAGGUAUUCAACUACCAGCAAGACAACCAUGGAUCCAUGGGUGUGACUAGCAGUUGGUGCAUAUGAUGGACACGUUUUACCACUAACAGACGAAACACCAUGUCUGUAUCUACAUAGCUUUCUAUCCUUUCUCCACGUACUUCUGCACCCCAUUAACAAAAAGGCAAAUUAAAAUAUAUUAUACAAAAGUAGACCUAACUUUAAUGCUUUAUCCACUCCUAUAAAAUCUACAUAAUCGUCGAGUUCCAACACACUUCAGAACAAUAUAUCCACUUAUAGUUGCAGGGAACUAAGAAAAAAAAGAAGAUCGACUGAGAAACAUGCCUGACCAUCCACCACCACCACCGGGCCAUGAUCACGGACCCCCUCAUCCUGAGCCUCCUCCGCCGCACGCCCAUGCUCCUCCUCCUCCUCAGCCGGGCGGUGGACCUCACGCACCUCCCCCUGGCCCUCCUGAACCACACAAGCCACAUCAUGAUCCCCAUCAUGGUCCCCAUCAUGGUCCUGGUCAUCACCACCCAUGAAUCAUCAUUCAUCGUAUGAUGAAUAUAUACAUGCUUGCAUGCAUGUAUGUAGAUGUAUGGUGUACGUUGUGAUGUAAUUUCUAGUUUUAACUAAGUCGGUGAGUCCUCUCAUGAUCAUGCAGUUUUAAUGAAUGAUGACUUCGUGUACCCAAAAAGUAUGCAUGAUUAUGUAAAUUAAUAAGAUCGGUUUGUGGUUUUAAUUUCCUCUUAAUUAAUUAGUUAAUUUGGUACGCACUGAGCUGCUGAUCAAAGUGUGGUUUAAGAUGCAAAAUUUCCAUUCCUUUCAUGUUUUAAUUAAGAUGCAAAUCUAAUUACAAACAAAUACGCUGCAACUAACUAAAAACCCUACGUGCAGCAGGCCAUGGAUAAUUUUUGGUCUUUAAUUCGAUCUUUUACUUUAGAUAAAUGUCUAAUUUAAUUGCUGCAAAAGCUAGCUUCUGAAGUAUGAUCAGUGUUAAGAAACAAAUAAAAUUAAGAUAUAUAUCAUCAUUAUAAUUAAAUUUUCUGAUGUAGGAGAACAAAUGAAAUAUGCGUAUAUUGUCGGUGCGUAAUCCGCACUAAUAAUACAACGUUAAAUAAAAAUAUGUAUGUAUUAUUGUAUUAUACAAAUGUAAUGCCACAGUAAGGUUAUUUCCAACCGAAUGAGGGCCAAAAUGCUAUCUUUAGCUCUAUAGUCUUGCAAGAAAUUAUAUUUUAAUGAAUAGUGCUAUGCUAUAUUUUAUACAUCUCAAACUGAGAGGAUCAAAAGACAAUAGGCCAAACAUAGCCCUUUGAAAAAAACUAUCUCCAACUGAGGGAACCAAAAGAUCAUAGGCCAAACAUAAUUUAUUAUUUUAAUUAAAUUAAACUACUAUAUUUAAAAAAGGUUUUCAGACAUAUUUUGAGUCACUUGUCGUCAAAUGAAUAAGCCUCCGGAUUUCUUAUCUAUAUAUAAUCUCAAUAAUUUUUUUGGAUAGAAUUUCGAGUAACACGUGUAGCUAACAUGAGGAACUCUUCAAAUUUUUUAUCUUUAUGUAAUCGCAAUAAUUUUUCGGAUAGGAUUUCGAAUGACAUUUGUCGCUAAAGUGAGUAACUAUCCAUAUUUCUUAUCUUUAUGUAAUCUUAAUAAUUUUUCGGAUAUGAUUUCGAGUGCCACGUGUCGAGUGUUGUGCUAGGAUAGCACCAAACCUUAUGGAACCAACUCAAGCUAACCCACAUGAAAUAUAUCAAAUGGAAUGCAAGAACAAAAUAUAAAAGAACACCAAGAUUUUAACGAGGUUCCUCAACAGUCAGUGUAGCUGGAGUACGU
RNAcentral lists this long non-coding RNA (43760 nucleotides) under Malus domestica (apple). The record is from RNAcentral. Lineage: Eukaryota; Viridiplantae; Streptophyta; Magnoliopsida; Rosales; Rosaceae.